Haliotis rufescens (red abalone) is the source of this 578-nucleotide long non-coding RNA. RefSeq lists it as uncharacterized. The transcript has 3 exons. NCBI's taxonomy places the organism in Eukaryota, Metazoa, Mollusca, Gastropoda, Lepetellida, Haliotidae. The record is from RefSeq and is a predicted model, not a curated record.
CGGUCAUGUGACCGACCUCUCGUCCAAUGGAAAAGCCGUAUAUCGUGUAAACUGCAAAUUAAUAAAUCAUAUACAUUUGAAUAUUCUGAGGAACACACGGACACUUUAGUUAUGCUGUUGGAGGACGUCCUCCUUUUGGGGGAACAGUCUUAUGUCACUGCCAGCAGGGUUGUUGUAUUAGAGAUUAUUCAAAAACUUCUCCCCAUUGUUUUUUAUGAAUGUCAUGUCCCAGCCUCUUGCUGAUGUCAUUAACUGGAGGAUGAGAAUGUUUGUGGUGUUCAACUACCAAAGUCUGCUGUUGUAAGGAAGGAGUAGCUACCUUAUAUUUCAAAAGUUCCAGAUGUUGAUUUGCUUGUAAUGGUUUAACGGGGUCCAAGGUGAUCCAUGUGUGAGCAUUGAGCAAAGCAAUUCCGAGAGCACUGGAUCACUUCAAGAAGACAUUCAAGUUUCCAAAUACUCCAGCUGACACCAGUCUCCAUGUCUACCCUACCUUUCUGGCAUGGCUCGCAGUAUCUGAUGGUACAGCUUGAUGGCUUGACGUCGGUGUAGCACCAGGGUCUGUGGAGGACCCCACCGGG